Molecule: long non-coding RNA, 1092 nt
Organism: Ananas comosus (pineapple)
Lineage: Eukaryota; Viridiplantae; Streptophyta; Magnoliopsida; Poales; Bromeliaceae
Exons: 2
Source: RefSeq, a predicted model, not a curated record
GGUCUAUGGAGUGACUUUAAAAGGAGUCACAUGAUAGUAUAGUAUAGGAGAGAAUACAAAAGGCUUCGUGCACUGCGUAUUAGUCAAUUUCUAUUGCAACUCCUCAAAUUUCUGUGUUACUUUUAAUCUUCUGAAUGUUCGUUCUCAUCGAUCCUACACUCUCUACUCUCUUGCCUUUUGGCUGAUUUAGCUUUGUUGGUUGGAGGCGUUGAAGCUGCCAGCAUGAUCUGGUCAUCGAAACGCGGUCGAAGCUCCGUUUCCUAGAAACUGCUUUAAAAAAAAUGAUUCUUAUAUAUAUUUCAUAUUUUCUUUUAUAUAUAUAUAGAGAAAGAUCUAUAGAGAGAGAGAGAGAGAGAGAGAGAGUUUUCAGGGCUGUGAAAUAUUGGUGAAUGAACUUAAAAUGAUCUCUGCAAGUUUUAGUCUCUGUAGCUAUCAUGCAAAAAACCACACUAGAGAGAGAGAGAGAGAGAGAGAGAGAGAGAGAGAGAGAGAGAGAGAGAGAGAGAGAGAGAUGGAUGAGCUUGUUUUGGCAUGACAAAAUUGUGAGGUUACAUGACCAUCAAAUCAUAUUGAGGCCAACAAAGUUAGCUAGGGUUGCUACAUAGAAAGGCAUAAAGCAUGUCAAUAGCUAUAUAUUUACAUAUAUAAUAUAUAUAUAUAUAUAGAGAGAGAGAGAGAGAGAGAGUCUUAGAGAGAGAGAGAGAGAGAGAGUCUUAGAGAGAGAGAGAGAGAGUCUUAGAAAGGGAGAGAGAGAGGGCAAGGGAAAAGGGAGUUGUAAACUCUCAUCAGAUCAUCUUGCAGCUUCAACAACUCACAACCAACAAAAGGAUUUGGAGGAGAUCAUAGAGCUGCUGCUUAUUCACCUGCAUGCAUAUCCUACACCAAAUAGAUUUACAGCAAAAGCUUGAGUGGAGGCUUCUGGUCUUGGUCGCAAAGUUUUGUGCUUUUUGUCUAACAAGCGUUUGACUCCUGAAUCAUGAGAAGAGAAGCUGUUUGAAAAGAUCAGCUAAAUAGGCAUUAAAGCCUAUAUGUUGAAGACCAUUCGGAAACCUACUUGGAACUUCACUUUUUACAUGCUACAACAUUUCAAAA